Molecule: transfer RNA, 74 nt
Filed under: Candidatus Woesearchaeota archaeon
Lineage: Archaea; Nanobdellati; Candidatus Woesearchaeota
Description: tRNA-Arg
Rfam family: tRNA
About the family: Transfer RNA (tRNA) molecules are approximately 80 nucleotides in length. Their secondary structure includes four short double-helical elements and three loops (D, anti-codon, and T loops).
Source: RNAcentral
GGGCCGAUAGUUUAGUCUGGACAGAAUACGGGGCUUCGGACCCCGGGACGGGGGUUCAAAUCCCUCUCGGCCCG